GAUGAACGCUAGCGGCGGGCCUUAUCCAUGCAAGUCGAGGGGCAGCAGAACAUUUCGAUGUUGCUGGCGACCGGCGCACGGGUGCGUAACGCGUAUGUAAUCUGCCUUGUACAGGGGAAUAGCUUUUGGAAACAAAAAUUAAUACCCCAUAUACUCCAAGCAACACAUGUUGCAUGGAGAAAAGCUCUGGCGGUACAAGAUGAACAUGCGUCCUAUUAGCUAGUUGGUGAGAUAAAAGCUUACCAAGGCAACGAUAGGUAGGGGUUCUGAGAGGAAAAUCCCCCACACUGGUACUGAGAUACGGACCAGACUCCUACGGGAGGCAGCAGGAAGGAAUAUUGGUCAAUGGGCUCAAGCCUGAACCAGCCACGCCGCGUGCAGGAUGAAGGCCUUCAAGGUCUUAAACUGCUUUUGUACGGUAACAAAAAAUCUUCUGUGGAGGAUAUUGAGGGUACCGUAAGAAUAAGCACCGGCUAACUCCGUGCCAGCCGCCGCCGUAACAC
Molecule: ribosomal RNA, 503 nt
Filed under: uncultured bacterium
Lineage: Bacteria
Description: bacterial SSU rRNA
Rfam family: Bacterial small subunit ribosomal RNA
Source: RNAcentral